GUGAAUAACUCAUCCUUGGUACAGUGGAUCUCCAAGAGCUUUUGAAUACUUUCACCACAUUAUGCUUGAAGAUAGAACUGCUUGUGUUUGCAAGGUUUUUUCUUGUUUAGUUGCUUUUGCUUCUCUUUUCUCUCUUGGUCCCCAGGGACCAGAAAGAAGACACAAGGCUGUCAAUGCAUAUGAGCACUCGCUCAGAGUCCAUAUGCUGCUUCCUAAAUCUUCCUUGACUGUAAUUCUCAGCUGGAGUGCUGCUACUGUCAGCCAGAGAUUCCUUGGACCUGCUUUCUUCAGCCACCUGGGUAGACAGGUAGCAUCACAUAACUUAGGCAGAGCCUUGGCUCAGUUUUCCUUUUCUUCCUUUCCUUGGUCCCAUGAAAGCAGCCUGUGGACUUCUCUGGGCCUGUAAACCAGAGGCAAAAUGCUAAGCCAGCAGAUGCUGCUCUGAUCCAGUUUUAGCAAAGCUUUUUAAAAAGCUUCUCCAAGCCUCUGUUCCUCGGAGAGCAGAGAACUAUAAAGGCCAAAACUUGUUUCCAUUUUAAUCAGAUCAUAAUUCCAGUAGGUGCCUGUGAAGCAGAAAAGAGCGGCUCUCUUCCUAUUUUAGAGAGCUGAAUAAUUCAGAUACCUUCUCUAGGCCUCCUCCUCUCUUCCAAGAUAAUAAUCGUCCCACAUUUUAAUGCUGCAACAAAACCAGCCACCCAGGACUUCACUGUGCUCACUAGGCUUUGUACUGACAGGAGGAGAAAAUGCAGAAAAGAAUUUUUUUUAAUUUAAUUGCUGGAACAUGAGUCCUGGGACAUCACUGCAUGUCUCUGGUUCCCUCAGAGGCUGGGCAGUGCAGGUCCCACAUGUAUGGCUAUGUGCUCACAUGGGAGCAUGGGGGAGGAUGUUUAUGCAGCCCAAGACUGGGGACUUGGCCUAAAUGGGAGAAAUCUUGCUGCAGUUUCCCUGUGGUUUUUGCCAUAUUGCUUUUUCAGUGAUAUGGCUGUGACUUGUUCCUCUACAUUCCCAGUUCGUGCUGAUGGGCAUGGUUGGGUUCAGCCAAGCAAGCAGAAGUUCCUGUGCUAUCAGAUUGUACCAUUAUAUAUUAAAUAAGAGCAGAACCAGAGUAAAUCUGUAGUGGGCAUACACACUGCAGUCCUUACCUGACAAUGUAAAUGUAAUGAGG
This 1165-nucleotide long non-coding RNA is filed under the name Phasianus colchicus (ring-necked pheasant). Its description in RNAcentral is "lncRNA (ENSPCLG00000005582.1)". The record is from RNAcentral. Lineage: Eukaryota; Metazoa; Chordata; Aves; Galliformes; Phasianidae.